UGUAUCCAGAGAUACCCUUCUUGUCCUCAAUAGCUUGCUGUGGACAUAGGAAACAAAUACAAAAUGUGAGGACAGGUGCUGGCAGACCAUGGAGUGAGUUCUCUAAUAUGGAAACUGAGACACAGAGAGAUGACUUGCUCAAAGUGACAAGACAUUUGUGGCAGUCUGGGAGUAGAACUCAGGUCUCCCAAUAUCUAUUCAUGGGCUUGAGCCACAAGAUUGCCUUUCUUCUCCUAAGAUGAAAGGCAGUGAUUGGUGUGCAUGUGUUGUCCUGUUGUGAGCAUUUGCCUUGGACUGUGUGAGGACUCAAAUAUGCUGCCUAUCCCAAGAGGGAAGUGUCUGAUGUUAACAUGACCAUAGGAGGAUUGUGGCUGAAUGGGACUCCUGCACAAACAUUGGAAGGAUUCUUCUACUAGGCUCUUCCCUUAAAAGAAGUGCUGGGGAUAUGAGUCUCCGAAACAAUGUAUGUACUGGGAAUGCCCAUCAGCCAUCACCAAGGGGGACAGCUUCUUGAAACAAGAAGCAUCCCAGACAGAAGAAAAAUUUGUUUGGACCCUCCCCCCCAAUAGGGGAAAAAUUAAAACAAUUAUUCAGACACAUUUUUAAGAAAAGAAAAGCACGAACAACCAUGCCAACAACUAUAAGGUUACUAACUAAAUAUACUACUGUACUAAAGAACUAACUACUAAUGCAAAGCACAAAUAGGCACACAUUAAACUCCCAACUCUGGCUGAAGGUGGUUGAGAAGGUUUGCCCAUGCAGCCCUAUAUAGCCUCAAUAUAGGCCAUGACAAUAUGUAGGGCGCAUGUGCGGGUCAAACUGGCACUGCUUCCACAAAUCUAUGAUCAAAGUCGCAGGGCGCAUGCUCACCUGAAAUGAAGCACCCACAGGGACAUUACUCAAAGAAGAAUCUAUGUUAUUGAAACAUUAAGCUUGCACAAGUAAGCAUUCAGUUGUUAGAAAGUGCAAAAGUUAAGGUUGAUUGAGAAACCUAACUCUGUCCCCACUGAACAUAUACAUCACAAUACAGUCUGCAAGUCUGAUUCACCACUUCAUUACUCAAGUUUAGCCUUAGAUUCACACUGGCGUAAAGAUGGAGUUACACACUGGUGAAUCAGGCAAUAUAAAUUUAUGAGCACAUCAUCUUAGAUCCCAAGGUGUAUUUAAGGUUGGCUAGACAAGUGGUGAGCUGAGAUCUCUGCUUAACGUACAAUAACUUCUGCCUAAUCCUCUCCUUCCCCCACAUUUGUUUGCCUUGUCCACUGGUCCUGUCUUGGCAUAAUUUAGACUGCAAGUUCCUUGGGGUCAGGAUCAUCUUUUCAAUGUGUGUUUGUACAGAGCUAACACAAUGGGACCCCAGUUCUGGAUCGGGGUUCUUAGGCAC
This is a long non-coding RNA of Trachemys scripta elegans, 1384 nucleotides long. RefSeq lists it as uncharacterized. Lineage: Eukaryota; Metazoa; Chordata; Testudines; Emydidae. The record is from RefSeq and is a predicted model, not a curated record. The transcript has 4 exons.